Molecule: ribosomal RNA, 730 nt
Filed under: Pseudomonas umsongensis
Lineage: Bacteria; Pseudomonadati; Pseudomonadota; Gammaproteobacteria; Pseudomonadales; Pseudomonadaceae
Description: partial 16S rRNA
Source: RNAcentral
CACCUCAGUGUCAGUAUCAGUCCAGGUGGUCGCCUUCGCCACUGGUGUUCCUUCCUAUAUCUACGCAUUUCACCGCUACACAGGAAAUUCCACCACCCUCUACCAUACUCUAGCUUGUCAGUUUUGAAUGCAGUUCCCAGGUUGAGCCCGGGGAUUUCACAUCCAACUUAACAAACCACCUACGCGCGCUUUACGCCCAGUAAUUCCGAUUAACGCUUGCACCCUCUGUAUUACCGCGGCUGCUGGCACAGAGUUAGCCGGUGCUUAUUCUGUCGGUAACGUCAAAACAGCAAAGUAUUAAUUUACUGCCCUUCCUCCCAACUUAAAGUGCUUUACAAUCCGAAGACCUUCUUCACACACGCGGCAUGGCUGGAUCAGGCUUUCGCCCAUUGUCCAAUAUUCCCCACUGCUGCCUCCCGUAGGAGUCUGGACCGUGUCUCAGUUCCAGUGUGACUGAUCAUCCUCUCAGACCAGUUACGGAUCGUCGCCUUGGUGAGCCAUUACCUCACCAACUAGCUAAUCCGACCUAGGCUCAUCUGAUAGCGCAAGGCCCGAAGGUCCCCUGCUUUCUCCCGUAGGACGUAUGCGGUAUUAGCGUCCCUUUCGAGACGUUGUCCCCCACUACCAGGCAGAUUCCUAGGCAUUACUCACCCGUCCGCCGCUGAAUCAGAGAGCAAGCUCUCAUCAUCCGCUCGACUUGCAUGUGUUAGGCCUGCCGCCAGCGUUCAAU